Molecule: transfer RNA, 106 nt
Filed under: Rhizoctonia solani
Lineage: Eukaryota; Fungi; Basidiomycota; Agaricomycetes; Cantharellales; Ceratobasidiaceae
Description: tRNA-His
Rfam family: tRNA
About the family: Transfer RNA (tRNA) molecules are approximately 80 nucleotides in length. Their secondary structure includes four short double-helical elements and three loops (D, anti-codon, and T loops). Further hydrogen bonds mediate the characteristic L-shaped molecular structure. tRNAs have two regions of fundamental functional importance: the anti-codon, which is responsible for specific mRNA codon recognition, and the 3' end, to which the tRNAs corresponding amino acid is attached (by aminoacyl-tRNA synthetases). tRNAs cope with the degeneracy of the genetic code in two manners: having more than one tRNA (with a specific anti-codon) for a particular amino acid; and 'wobble' base-pairing, i.e. permitting non-standard base-pairing at the 3rd anti-codon position.
Source: RNAcentral
GUUCCUAUGGUCUAGUGGUUAUGACGCUUCGUUGUGGUUUAUAUCACAUAACGAUUAUGUAAUGAUCGAACCCGAAGCAGCCCGUGUUCGAUUCACGGUGGGGACA